AGGGGAAUAACCCGGAAAGUCGGACUAAUACCGCAUAAAACAGGGUUCCACAUGGAAAUAUUUGUUAAAGAAUUAUCGCUGAUAGAUGGGCAUGCGUUCCAUUAGAUAGUUGGUGAGGUAACGGCUCACCAAGUCCACGAUGGAUAGGGGUUCUGAGAGGAAGGUCCCCCACACUGGUACUGAGACACGGACCAGACUCCUACGGGAGGCAGCAGUGAGGAAUAUUGGUCAAUGGGCGAGAGCCUGAACCAGCCAAGUCGCGUGAAGGAUGAAGGAUCUAUGGUUUGUAAACUUCUUUUAUAUGGGAAUAAAGUGAGGAACGUGUUCCUUUUUGUAUGUACCAUAUGAAUAAGCAUCGGCUAACUCCGUGCCAGCAGCCGCGGUAAUACGGAGGAUGCGAGCGUUAUCCGGAUUUAUUGGGUUUAAAGGGUGCGUAGGUGGUUAAUUAAGUCAGCGGUGAAAGUUUGUGGCUCAACCAUAAAAUUGCCGUUGAAACUGGUUGACUUGAGUAUAUUUGAGGUAGGCGGAAUGCGUGGUGUAGCGGUGAAAUGCAUAGAUAUCACGCAGAACUCCGAUUGCGAAGGCAGCUUACUAAACUAUAACU
RNAcentral lists this ribosomal RNA (604 nucleotides) under uncultured Bacteroidales bacterium. RNAcentral describes it as "bacterial SSU rRNA". It matches the Rfam family "Bacterial small subunit ribosomal RNA", at positions 137 to 741 of the family's 1533-position model. The record is from RNAcentral. Lineage: Bacteria; Pseudomonadati; Bacteroidota; Bacteroidia; Bacteroidales.